AGCUAGAGUUGUUCUGCUGUGCACAGCUCCUUCUUCUUCCACAGCGGAGGUGUCAAGUAUUUGAUUCCCAACCAAGGAUCCCCACCCUCCCUUUGCCCAGGCACAUCUCAGGUUCAGCAGCCCACGUGCAGAAGCGAGGCACCAGGACAAAUACCAGUAGCUGGGAUAAAGCCUGCAGGACACAUCCCGCAAUCUGGGAAAGGCCAAAAGCAUCAAUGGAAACACUCUGGCUGGAGAUAAGUGGUAGCUUCAGCUUUUAUGUUGCUCUGAAGAACAGGCACAGGAGGCACAGUGGAGGGAAGGGAGGUUGCUCCUGGCUUUGCUGUUGAACAGUGUGUUGGUUUUCUUGGAACCUGCAUCUGCAUCCAGCACCAUCGAGAAAAGGCAGUGCCUGGAACGUGGGUGCAUCGCGCAGACGGCAGCGGGAGCGCGGCUGUGCCGGGUCCGCAGGACAUCCACACACACCUCGGCUCUGCUGCCAGCUCCCAGCACGGGGGCAGAAUCCCUGGAGCAUCCCCGUACCUCUGUUGCCCUCCCAUCUUCUGUGCGUGAUCACAAGAGCUUUGAAGCAAAGCUUAUUCCAUCGUUACUGCUGGUGAACCAAACUUUGUCAGCAAUGACGAGGGGCACUCAACCUAAAAUAUCUCCAGAUACCUGCAAACAUUUAGGAAACCCCUGAGUUACAGUGUGAGCAAUGAGAAACGAAGAGAGAGUCCAGUGCUCAGCAGGAAGCAUGAGGAGGACCUUGCUUUGGUUGGGUCAUGUGGACAGUCUUCUGGCUGUGACACCCCAAUCUUCAGAAACUGAGAUUACCAAUUCUGGUCCUAUUUAAGACUGGGGAGAAAAUGCAAAAUUCUGAAAUGUUUGCAAGGUUGGAAAACAGCUUUCCACUAAGUUCUCCUCAGAUGAGAUUGCAGAAAUUCUUCUGUUUUCUUCUUCCUGCCUGGCUCUGUUACCAAGCAAUUCUGUUCACACUGUUCUCCAAGACAAAAUCUGAGCCAGACUGAGAUUUGUGUUGAUGGAUCCCUUGGGGUCAAGAUGAAUUUGAACCAAAGCACUGGAAGAAGGAAUAAAUAUAAACAGAACUGAGACAAAAAUGGAGAAAUGUUCUUCACACUUCUAGAAACUCCUGGGUGAAAAAAAAAAUUGUAAUUCAAUCAACAAAGGAAUGUGAAGAAGAGCAAAAGAAUGGUUCCAGAGGUGACUCUUCCCUGUCCAAGAGGCAGCAGGUGGGAAAAAGUGAAACUGCCUGUCCAAAAGCUCAAUAGUUGGCCUGCAGGAUAUUAUCAGCUUCUUCUUAACCAGUCAUGAAGAAGAGCAGGAUUCCUGUAUUACUGGACUGUGAGAACAUUUCCAGAGUGAACAUUUAGACCCAGGUCUUAUGUUGACAUGGAUUUGGUCAAAGCAAUAAGUCAGAGCAUUUUGAAGAAUAUGUAAAUGCACGUUAGAAUUGCAGUCAAAAUGAUAAAUAUCUAAUUUUCAUAGGUCAGGAAACCUGAGCUCUAGCACUUAAUUACCUUCCAAA
Long non-coding RNA from Pipra filicauda (Wire-tailed manakin), 1525 nucleotides. RefSeq lists it as uncharacterized. The record is from RefSeq and is a predicted model, not a curated record. The transcript has 6 exons. Lineage: Eukaryota; Metazoa; Chordata; Aves; Passeriformes; Pipridae.